RNAcentral lists this ribosomal RNA (465 nucleotides) under Vreelandella stevensii. RNAcentral's name for it is "partial 16S ribosomal RNA". It matches the Rfam family "Bacterial small subunit ribosomal RNA", at positions 338 to 795 of the family's 1533-position model. The record is from RNAcentral. Lineage: Bacteria; Pseudomonadati; Pseudomonadota; Gammaproteobacteria; Oceanospirillales; Halomonadaceae.
CCUACGGGGGGCAGCAGUGGGGAAUAUUGGACAAUGGGCGAAAGCCUGAUCCAGCCAUGCCGCGUGUGUGAAGAAGGCCUUCGGGUUGUAAAGCACUUUCAGUGGGGAAGAAAGCCUUGGGGCUAAUACCCUCGAGGAAGGACAUCACCCACAGAAGAAGCACCGGCUAACUCCGUGCCAGCAGCCGCGGUAAUACGGAGGGUGCGAGCGUUAAUCGGAAUUACUGGGCGUAAAGCGCGCGUAGGCGGUCUGAUAAGCCGGUUGUGAAAGCCCCGGGCUCAACCGGGAACGUGCAUCCGGACCGGAUCGACGAGAGAGUGGGAGAGGGUAGUGGAAGUCCCGGUGGAGCAGUGAAAUGCGUAGAGAGAGGCAGGAACACCAGUGGCGAAGGCGAGUCACUGGACCAAUACUGACACUGAGGCACGAAAGCCUGGGGAGCAAACAGGAUUAGAUACCCCAGUAGUC